Molecule: ribosomal RNA, 548 nt
Filed under: uncultured bacterium
Lineage: Bacteria
Description: partial 16S ribosomal RNA
Rfam family: Bacterial small subunit ribosomal RNA
Source: RNAcentral
UGGGGAAUUUUGGACAAUGGGCGAAAGCCUGAUCCAGCAAUGCCGCGUGUGUGAAGAAGGCCUUCGGGUUGUAAAGCACUUUUGUCCGGAAAGAAAUGGCUCUGGUUAAUACCUGGGGUCGAUGACGGUACCGGAAGAAUAAGGACCGGCUAACUACGUGCCAGCAGCCGCGGUAAUACGUAGGGUCCAAGCGUUAAUCGGAAUUACUGGGCGUAAAGCGUGCGCAGGCGGUUGUGCAAGACCGAUGUGAAAUCCCCGAGCUUAACUUGGGAAUUGCAUUGGUGACUGCACGGCUAGAGUGUGUCAGAGGGGGGUAGAAUUCCACGUGUAGCAGUGAAAUGCGUAGAGAUGUGGAGGAAUACCGAUGGCGAAGGCAGCCCCCUGGGAUAACACUGACGCUCAUGCACGAAAGCGUGGGGAGCAAACAGGAUUAGAUACCCUGGUAGUCCACGCCCUAAACGAUGUCAACUAGUUGUUGGGGAUUCAUUUCCUUAGUAACGUAGCUAACGCGUGAAAGUUGACCGCCUGGGGAGUACGGUCGCAAGAUU